RNAcentral lists this ribosomal RNA (468 nucleotides) under uncultured bacterium. RNAcentral's name for it is "partial 16S ribosomal RNA". It matches the Rfam family "Bacterial small subunit ribosomal RNA", at positions 28 to 507 of the family's 1533-position model. The record is from RNAcentral.
GACGAACGCUGGCGGCGUGCUUAACACAUGCAAGUCGAACGGAAAGGCCCUGCUUUUGUUGCUUUCUCGAUUGGCGAACGGGUGAGUAACACGUGAGUAACCUGCCCUUAUCUGUGUGAUAACUUCUGGAAACUGCGGCUAUUACCCGAUAUAAUCUCCUGCUGCAUGUUGGUGGUUGGAAAAUUUCGGCGGUUGUGGAUGUUCUCGCUGCUUAUGAGCUUGUUGGGCUGGUAGGUGCUUACCAAGGCUUUGACGGGUAGCCGGCCUGAGAGGGUUACCGGCCACAUUGGGACUGAGAGACGGAGCAGAAUGCUAUGGGACGCAGCAGUGGAGAACAUUGCGCAACAGCGGGACGUCAGAUGCAGAAACGCCGGGUGCGGGAUGCCGGCUUUUGAGUUGUGAACCAAUUUCGAAUGAGCUGUAGAGUGCGUGACGGUACUGGGUAAAGAAGCAACGGCUAACUACGUG